AUUGAACGCUGGCGGCAUGCUUUACACAUGCAAGUCGAACGGCAGCGCGGGCUUCGGCCUGGCGGCGAGUGGCGAACGGGUGAGUAAUACAUCGGAACGUGCCCAGUAGUGGGGGAUAGCUCGGCGAAAGCCGGAUUAAUACCGCAUACGACCUGAGGGUGAAAGCGGGGGAUCUUCGGACCUCGCGCUAUUGGAGCGGCCGAUGGCAGAUUAGCUAGUUGGUGGGGUAAAGGCCUACCAAGGCGACGAUCUGUAGCUGGUCUGAGAGGACGACCAGCCACACUGGGACUGAGACACGGCCCAGACUCCUACGGGAGGCAGCAGUGGGGAAUUUUGGACAAUGGGCGAAAGCCUGAUCCAGCAAUGCCGCGUGUGUGAUGAAGGACUUCGGGUUGUAAAGCACUUUUGGCGGGAACGAAAAGGACUGUGCCAAUACCACGGUUCGAUGACGGUACCCGCAGAAUAAGCACCGGCUAACUACGUG
Molecule: ribosomal RNA, 484 nt
Filed under: uncultured bacterium
Lineage: Bacteria
Description: partial 16S ribosomal RNA
Rfam family: Bacterial small subunit ribosomal RNA
Source: RNAcentral